CGCCAGACUCCUACGGGAGGCAGCAGUGGGGAAUAUUGCACAAUGGGGGGAACCCUGAUGCAGCGACGCCGCGUGAGUGAAGAAGUAUUUCGGUAUGUAAAGCUCUAUCAGCAGGGAAGAAAAUGACGGUACCUGACUAAGAAGCCCCGGCUAACUACGUGCCAGCAGCCGCGGUAAUACGUAGGGGGCAAGCGUUAUCCGGAUUUACUGGGUGUAAAGGGAGCGUAGACGGCAUGGCAAGUCAGAUGUGAAAGCCCGGGGCUCAACCCCGGGACUGCAUUUGAAACUGUCAGGCUGGGGUGCAGGAGAGGUAAGUGGAAUUCCUAGUGUAGCGGUGAAGUGCGUAGAUAUUAGGAGGAACACCAGUGGCGAAGGCGGCUUACUGGACUGUAACUGACGUUGAGGCUCGAAAGCGUGGGGAGCAAACAGGAUUAGAUACCCGCGUAAA
Molecule: ribosomal RNA, 448 nt
Filed under: uncultured bacterium
Lineage: Bacteria
Description: bacterial SSU rRNA
Rfam family: Bacterial small subunit ribosomal RNA
Source: RNAcentral